AACGAACGCUGGCGGCAUGCCUAACACAUGCAAGUCGAACGAAACCUUCGGGUCUAGUGGCGCACGGGUGCGUAACACGUGGGAACCUGCCCUUGGGUUCGGAAUACCUCCCCGAAGGGGGUGCUAAUACCGGAUAAUGUCUUCGGGCCAAAGAUUUUUCGCCUGUGGAUGGGCCCGCGUUGGUUUAGCUGGUUGGUAGGGUAAAAGCCUGCCAAGGCGACGUUCCAUGGGUGGUCGGAGAGGAGGAUCAGGGACACUGGGACUGGGACAAGGCCCAGACGCCUACGGGCGGCAGCAGUGAGGAAGAUUGGACAAGGGGCGAAAUGCUGAUACAGCACGGCCGGGUGGGUGAUGAAGGGGUUAGGGUUGUAAAGCGCUUUUACCCGGGAUGAUAAGGACAGUACCGGGAGAAUAAGCUCCGGCUAAUUCCGG
Molecule: ribosomal RNA, 432 nt
Filed under: uncultured bacterium
Lineage: Bacteria
Description: partial 16S ribosomal RNA
Rfam family: Bacterial small subunit ribosomal RNA
Source: RNAcentral